UGGCUCAGGAUGAACGCUAGCGGCAGGCUUACACAUGCAAGUCGAGGGGUAAGGCUCCUUCGGGAGUACACGACCGGCGCACGGGUGAGUAACGCGUAUGCAACCUACCCGUAGCUUGAGCAUAGCCCGAAGAAAUUCGGAUUAAUACUCUAUAAUAUUCUAAGGUGGCAUCACCAUAGUCUUAAAGCUCCGGCGGCUACGGAUGGGCAUGCGUGACAUUAGCAAGUUGGUGAGGUAACGGCUCACCAAAGCUACGAUGUCUAUGGGGUCUUAAAGGAUGAUCCCACACACUGGUACUGAGACACGGACCAGACUCCUACGGGAGGCAGCAGUGAGGAAUAUUGGUCAAUGGACGAAAGUCUGAACCAGCCAUGCCGCGCGCAGGAUUGACAGCUCUAGUAGUUGUAAACUGCUUUUAUAUGAGAAGAAACCACCCUACGUGUAGGGUGCUGACUGUAUCGUAAGAAUAAGCAUCGGCUAACUCCGUGCCAGCAGCCGCGGUAAUACGGAGGAUGCAAGCGUUAUCCGGAUUUAUUGGGUUUAAAGAGUGCGUAGGCGGGAAAGUAAGUCAGUGGUGAAAGUCUGCGGCUCAACCGUAGAAUUGCCAUUGAUACUGUUUUCCUUGAAUGCAGUUGAGGUAGGCGGAAUGUGUAAUGUAGCGGUGAAAUGCUUAGAUAUUACACAGAACACCGAUUGCGUAGGCAGCUUACUAAACUGUUAUUGACGCUGAGGCACGAAAGCGUGGGGAGCGAACAGGAUUAGAUACCCUGGUAGUCCACGCCGUAAACGAUGAUCACUCGCUGUUGGCAAUACAUCGUCAGCGGCUGAGCGAAAGCAUUAAGUGAUCCACCUGGGGAGUACGUCGGCAACGAUGAAACUCAAAGGAAUUGACGGGGGCCCGCACAAGCGGAGGAACAUGUGGUUUAAUUCGAUGAUACGCGAGGAACCUUACCUGGGCUUAAAUGUAGGGCGACCGCUGCCGAAAGGCGGCUUUCUUCGGACGACCUACAAGGUGCUGCAUGGCUGUCGUCAGCUCGUGCCGUGAGGUGUCGGGUUAAGUCCCAUAACGAGCGCAACCCCUAUUCUUAGUUGCCAGCGGAUAAUGCCGGGGGCUCUAAGAAGACUGCCACCGUAAGGUGUGAGGAAGGUGGGGAUGACGUCAAGUCAGCACGGCCCUUACGUCCAGGGCUACACACGUGUUACAAUGGCCGGUACAAAGGGCAGCUACACAGCAAUGUGAUGCUAAUCUCAAAAACCGGUCUCAGUUCGGAUUGAAGUCUGCAACUCGACUUCAUGAAGUUGGAUUCGCUAGUAAUCGUAUAUCAGCAACGAUACGGUGAAUACGUUCCCGGGCAUUGUACACACCGCCCGUCAAGCCAUGGAAGCCGGGGGUACCUGAAGUCCGUAACCGAAAGGAUCGGCCUAGGGUAAACUGUAACUGGGGCUAAGUCG
This 1452-nucleotide ribosomal RNA is filed under the name uncultured organism. RNAcentral describes it as "bacterial SSU rRNA". It matches the Rfam family "Bacterial small subunit ribosomal RNA". The record is from RNAcentral.